UCUCGGUGAGCUUCACAGAGGACUUUGUGGCCGGGAGACGGCCAACUAACGCGGUUCUCUUUCACCCAUAGCGUGCCAGUGUGGAUCGUUCUGGAUCGUCACCGACUGUGGGCUCCCCAKGGAAGUGAAGGAAUGCACGUGCGGCGCCAAAGUUGGGGGCACCAACCACACGCCCGAGAAGGGGUUCUCGAGGCAGGAGAUCACRGUGGAUAAAACGGAGAAAGGGUACCUCCUCGAGAGCCCUUCGUUGCGGAGCAACGACCUGGAGCGGUCCCUGUCGCCCGCCCACGUGGGGCUCGCGA
This 302-nucleotide long non-coding RNA is filed under the name Apteryx owenii (little spotted kiwi). RNAcentral describes it as "lncRNA (ENSAOWG00000012455.1)". The record is from RNAcentral. Lineage: Eukaryota; Metazoa; Chordata; Aves; Apterygiformes; Apterygidae.